Molecule: long non-coding RNA, 713 nt
Filed under: Cyanistes caeruleus (blue tit)
Lineage: Eukaryota; Metazoa; Chordata; Aves; Passeriformes; Paridae
Description: lncRNA (ENSCCEG00000003951.1)
Source: RNAcentral
CAAAAUCAGCCCCAAAACUGCCCCGGUCCAAGCCAAUCCUUUCCCAGUUCAAACCAGUCCAAACCAGUCCAAACCAGUCAGUUUCCAGUCCAAACCAGUGCAAACCAGUCCGUUCCCAGUCCGUUCCCAGUUCAAACCAGCCCAAACCAGUCCAUUCCCAGUCCAAACCGGUCCGUUCCCAGUCCAAACCAGUCCAAACCGGUCCGUUCCCAGUUCAAACCAGUCCAAACCGGUUUGGUUGCAGGUUCGGGGCUGGUACCGGUCGCUGCUGUGCCCGCGCUGGCGCCCGUACUCGGAGUUCACCAGUAACACCAGUAACACCAGUAACAACACCAGUCACACCAGUAACACCAGUAUGGGCCGCGCCCGGGGCUCCCUGGCACACCAGUGACACCAGUGACACCAGUGACAGCAGGUGCCGAAAAUUCCAGGAAAAACCAAAAAUUUGGGGAAAUUCGAUGGAAUUUUGGGAAAUUCGAUGGAAUUUUGGGGGGAAUCGUUGGGAUUUUGGGAAAUUCGAUGGAAUUUUGGGAAAUUCGGGAUUUUUACCCAGCUCGGGGAGCUCAGUAAAGAAAAUCGAGUUUGGAUUUGGGGCGAAUUCCUGGGAUUUUGGGCUGAAAUCUCUGAGAUUCAGGGAAUUCCAGGGAUUUCGGGGAUUCCGGGACAUUUUUGGGGUGGAAUUCCAGGGAUUUUGGGGUAAAAUUCCGGGAUUU